GAUGAAGAACGCAGCGAAAUGCGAUAAGUAAUGUGAAUUGCAGAAUUCAGUGAAUCAUCGAAUCUUUGAACGCACAUUGCGCCCGCCAGUAUUCUGGCGGGCAUGCCUGUCCGAGCGUCAUUUCAACCAUCAAGCCCCCGGGCUUGUGUUGGGGACCUGCGGCUGCCCGCAGGCCCUGAAAACCAGUGGCGGGCUCGCUGUCACACCGAGCGUAGUAGCAAUCACCUCGCUCAGGGCGUGCUGCGGGUUCCGGCCGUUAAACAGCCUUACAAAACCCAAGGUUGACCUCGGAUCAGGUAGAAAGACCCGCUGAACUUAAGCAUAUCAAUAAGCGGAGGA
This 339-nucleotide unclassified non-coding RNA is filed under the name soil metagenome. Its description in RNAcentral is "partial contains 5.8S ribosomal RNA, internal transcribed spacer 2, and large subunit ribosomal RNA". The stretch from base 1 to 120 matches the Rfam family "5.8S ribosomal RNA", at positions 35 to 154 of the family's 154-position model. The record is from RNAcentral.